Molecule: long non-coding RNA, 11729 nt
Filed under: Lactuca sativa (garden lettuce)
Lineage: Eukaryota; Viridiplantae; Streptophyta; Magnoliopsida; Asterales; Asteraceae
Description: long non-coding RNA (LSAT_LNC000705)
Source: RNAcentral
CGGUCUACCCAGCAAGGCUGAGAUUUCAAUAUAGUACAACAGUAACAUUUUUCCCAUCCCGUAGGAAAAUUACAAUGAAAUUUAAAGCAAAAAUCAACGACGAUCUUUUCGCUUGUAAUAUUUGAUUUCGAUUCCACCUUUCUAUCAAGAAUGUUUGAUGUGCCUGAAUCACAACAAUAAAAUAAGAAAGUCAGUAUAAUGAAAUUAAUGUGUUUUUGUGUGCAUGUGAGAAAGAGAAAGAGAAACAGAGAAAGGAGCAUACAAUGACAAAGGGAGGCAAAAGAAGCCAUGAGAAUGAGGAAGAGAACUAGAAACCUACAACUAACGAAGGCCAUUUGAAAGGUAAUGAAAGGUUCCAGUGGAAUGAUUAAAUUGAGAAAUAAGAGGGUAUUUAUAAGUAGAUGCUAUGAAAUAUGAUAACAGAAUUUUCAAUAGGCUUUUAUUUAAAAUUUAUUACCUGAAAAUUUUGGUUUGAUGCAUUAAAUUUGCAAUAGCAGUUAUUUAUUUUUGUAUAUACGCAAAAGGAAAAAAGUAAAUAUCAAAGUUUAUAUAAAAAUGAGUUAGUGUAAUAUAAUAUGAAAACAUAAAUAUAACAAACAUAUAAUAGUUGACUUACUGUGAGCUCUUAAUGAAUAUUUUCUAAAAUUAAUUUUUUUUAAUAGUCUUUUUUUAUAGAAUAAUAAUAUAUCUUAGUUAUCAUCGUACAAAGAGCGAGAUGACAAACGAGCAACAAGCUACACUACUAAGCAUUUUUGUAUGGUAAAAAACCAAAUUCUUUUGAAAACUACAUCCAUAGAUCUUGGGGAUAUAAAAUUGUUACGCAUUAUCUAUUGUACUUUAUUAAGAAGCUCCACCACAUCCGGUGUGAGAGAACCAAAUGUAUCAAAUGCAAAUUGUAUGAACAAGUGUUGAUUUUCCAUGUACAAGUUCUCAUAUUUGAUGACCUUGCCUGUAGUAGCAUUUAAUGCAGCUUGUCCGUCGUGAAACCCCGAACCCUCAAACCCACGAGUGGGGAUAUCCCUAUAUGGUCCACACAAGCGUGUUUCUAUCCAACCCAUCCAAAAAUGAAAACGCCAGCUGUCUAAGGGUUGACCAUCCUGUAACGUCCUCAGAUCCGGGCUACUUAAUUUAGAGGCAAUAAGUGUCGUAAACGACUUUUCAGCAAAAGAUUAUUUAGAAUAAAUAAUCUUAACCAAGUUUUAGUAUAUGUUACAAGGUUUCCGUACAUAUAAAGAAUGCCAAAAUCCGAGUUAUAACGAAGAAGUUAUGACCCGUCGAAGUUUUUUGGCAAAACUCGCGCGACACCGGGAGACGUAAAUAGUGAAUUUACGUUAGAGGACUUUUUAGCCUUGGUGAUCUAAACCAAAGUUGUAGAUUAUGAUAAACUGAGAAAAUCCAUAAAAAGAACGCGAGGAAGUUAUGAUUUUUCGAAGUUUCGGCUUAGCAGUGCACGACCCGAAACUCGAAUGUUAGUUUGAGCGGUUUUUGGCUUACGCGACCUAAAUGAGAGUUGAAGAUCUCAUUAAUAGGAACUCAACGGUAAAAAGAUGGACGAAAACAGAGUCCAUACGAAGGAGUUACGAAUUCUUCGUGGUCAUUUAACAGUCUAAACGCCUCCUACUGUUAAAUUUGAGAUCGGUCGAGAAUUAGCCGACGGAGUCUAAAUGAAAGUUGUAGAUCUUGAUUUUACCUACGCGUGGAUAUAAAGAACGUCGAAAACGGAGCUCGUAUGCGAGAGUUAUGAUUUUUCUAAGUUCGAAGGCUGACACGCGAUAGGGGGUGACGUGGCACCACCAGAAUUGGACACGUGGCACCACCAGAAGGCCACCACAUGCACCAACUUGGCGAGUAGGUCCCCCUACUUGGCGAGUCCAUCAGUCAGCACCCCUAUAAAUAGAGGUGUCGGGUCUUGCCAUUUCAUCACACCUCCCAAACUCACUUUCUCUCUCUAGCCUCCUAAACCCCCCCUAAAGCCUAGGUAAACACCCUAGCACCCGAAGGAAGCCCCGAGGAUCCUGGAGUCUUGAGAAAAGAGCCUUUCGGCUUGGGAACGCUACUCCAGUGAAACACAGUUUUCGAGAAAACCCGCUGUAAGUGAGCUAUGCCUACCCUAUCUUUAGUAUAGCUUAUGUUUUAAUAUAGUAACGUUAUUAGGAACUUAUAAUAAGUAUUUGGGCUAUUAUUAUGAGUGUUAUUGAGUGUUAUUUAAUGCUUAUAUAAUAAUAAUAAUAAUAAUAAUAAUAAUAAUAGCUAGACUAUUAAUUUGUCGCUGUUAUCGUUAGACUAAACCCUAGUGGUAUUGGUAUUAGGUUUUAUCGAAGGAAAAUUGUUUUGAGAGUAUCAAAGUGUUGUCCGAGUGCUGAGUGACUAUCUUUCAGGUGAGUGCAUAGUCCCUUUCAUCUUACAUAUAGAUACGAAGUAUUUUAAUAUAAAUUAUAUGUUAUGUGUGCAUAUUGUCUGAAUACUUACUGUCUAUGUUGGGUGAAAUAUUUUUACACACGUUUUAAAUGAUUUAAACUGUAUAUGUAUUUUAUAUCUACGAAAAUGUUGGGAUAAGACAUGGGUAGAUAUAAUAGAUGGAAUAUGAGUUGGUCCAUGAGUUGCGAGGUGUUAUAGACCACGAGUUGAGGGUGAGAGGUGAACGAUAUGAGAAGCCUUUUCCCAAACGAUGGCCCCGUCAUUCAGUAGAGUAUGGAUGACAACCACAGACUAUUCUAGACAGUUCAGUGGAACACUAGUAGGCUCGCAACCUGUAAGUGUUGUGAACGAUAUGUUCACUCGGUGUACUCUAAACCUUGGUGAUCAUGCAGACUUGAUGCCUAAGCCUUGGUGAUCAUGUAGACUUGUAGUUAAAACCCUGGCAACUAUGCAGACUUAGUGCCUGAUGUAUAUAUUCUGGCGACUAUGCAGACUUAGUGUCUAAACCCCGGUGACGAUGGACUUCGUGCCGAUUCCUUAGGAUGAUCCUUAGGAAUGUAUGAACGAGGAAUGGUUGAUUCUUAGGGUAGAUCCUUAAGAGUAAAGAAGAUAAUGGGGAUGGUUAAUUGGGUUAAUUGCUUGAUUGUUUAAACGUAAUAAUUAUAUUAUUAUGGGUUGAAAACCCUAUGUACUCACCAGGUUUCCCAACUUGACCCACUCAGUUUAUUUAUAUCACAUGUGUUGAUAUGAAGUCACAUUACACUGAGAGAUUAAAGAGAUGUAGAUCACUAGUGUAAAUAAAUGUAAGUUCUGUUUAUGCUUAUGUUUCUGUAUUGACAAUGACAUCCCAAACGUUUUAAAAUCAAUGACAUACGUUUCUUCGAAAAUGUUUUGAUAACAUAUUUAUCGUGUUUUUCUGGGAACGAAUUCCUCAACAUUUUUAUGAAAAGAAUUACUCUGAUUUUUACAAAGCAUAAACAAAAUCGGUCUUUUCUGGCCGUGAAAAAUGGGGAUAUCAUACUUGGUAUCAGAGCAUUAGUUUAAGCGAACUAGGAAUAUGGAUUUAUUUCUAGACUUAAACUUAGAAUGCUAAGCAAUGAUUGUGAGAUGAGUGUCUGCUAUAUUUUAGACACAAGCACUAGUUUAUUUUAGGAAAGAUGCCUAAAAUGUUUUAUGUGCUAAAUGUUUUAUAUUAUAGCUAUAAAGAUGCCUUAUAUUCUAUUAUUUGUUCGGAUCCAUGGUCUAUUGCCGACCGGAUCUAGAAAUUUUAUGUGUUCAGAUUUCUAAACGUUUGAUUACGGUAUUAGAACUGGCAUAUAACUUUUUAGUGUGACAAGGAGAUCUAUACGUCUAUCAUAAAUAAAAUCUUUCCUAUCUUAAAAUUCUCGCCUCGGUACACCGAAUGUCUGCUUGGGUGUACAAAACGUCAUGGUGAAGACAGACUAGGAAAUAUUCGAGGAAGAUGACAACUUGAGCCUAAGAAUGUGAUGGGUCAUGCAUCGGUCGUUGCGCCUGCACCCGAACCUAUCAUAAUGGCAGAAGUUCAGGAAGUGAUGCGAACCAUGAUAAACUGAGAAAAUAGAGGAAAUAAGAUGGCUUACGAUACUGAAUGAUACCUAUCGGAAGAUAUCAUAAGGGAGGUGUCUUGCCUUUAGAAUACGUCUGAUAAAAGAGUAGUACGUCUAUAGAAUUAGGCUACAUUUGAAUGUACACAUUUGAUUGGCGGGAUGAUAGAAUGAUUGGUGUAAUUCCUAAAGUUUUCCUAUCAUCUGGAAUGUCCGUCACCAACCGAGUUGAAGCAGAAUUGAUGAUUCAAGAUAUGCAUGGAAGAAGUCCUAGUAGAGUCUAGGGAAAUUUUUAUGAUUAUUUGGACACACUCGUAUCUGUUAAAUUGUUUUGUGAUUUUAGGACUUGGGGACUGCGAGACAAUACUUGGGACGAGUAUGAGUAGGUGUGAAAGGUAGUAGAUGCAUAUACUACCAGAAGCAUAGGACUUACGCUUGGAUCAUGGAAAGUCACAAGGUUACCAAGAAGCCAAUAAUUGAUUCCGUUUUAUUCGAGCAUGUCGUUACCAUCGUUUCGGUAAUGACUAAGAAGAUUGUUGUUAUUCCGACCCUAGUGGUCAUAUCAACUUGAGUCCAACUACGAUGAGUAUGUUAUGUGGUUCAGAGAACCAAGUUCGAUGUAACAUCGGACUUAAGCUAUAGGAUUGAAGUAAAAGAUAAUCAAACUGAUCGGUAGAGGUAUCGUGAUGGUUUCUUGUAGCUAGAAAUUCUACCUUUUAAGAUGUGAUUAGAACAUGAAGGAAGGCAUAUUCCAUUCUGGAAUUUAACUCUAAGAGACCUGAGUCUAAGCAUUGAUAGUUCAUUAGAAUAUGACACAUCGGUCGAUUCUAGUAAUCAAAUUAACUUAUCCUAAGUUUGUUAAGAAGAAGAAGGAGUCUAUGAUAAAGAAUGAGGUUGUGACACGAAGGUCAUGAUUGAAAGUCUAACGAGCAGGUGCAAUACCGAGCACCACCUACAAUCAAGGAGUCCAAGGGUUAGAUACCCGUUCGAAGCAACAUAGAAGUUACAGUUAUUACCUAGGAUGAAGAGAUAAGUAUGGAGUCAUUAUAUUGCCCUGUUUCGUUGAUGAUUUCGUGACGUAAUCAUCCUAAGGGGGAGAUAAUUAUAACGCCCGUAGAUCCAGGCUAGUCAAUUUAGAGGCAAUAAUUGUCGAAAAUGACUUUUCGGAAAAAUAUUAUUUAGAAUAAAUACUCUUAACCAAGUUGUAGUAUAUGUUACAAAGUUUCCGUACAUAUAAAGAACACCAAAAUCCGAGUUAUAACGAAAAAGUUAUGACCUGUCGAAGUUUUUCGGCAAAACCGGCACGACACCGAGAGACGUAAAUAGUGAAUUUAUGUUAGAGGACUUUUUAGCCUUGGUGAUCUAAACCAAAGUUGUAGAGUAUGUUAAACCGAAAAAAUCCAUAAAAAGAACGCCCAAAUCUGACUUCGUAUGAGAAAGUUAUCAUUUUUCGAAGUUUCGGCUUAGCAGUGCACGACCCGAAACUCGAAUUUUAGUUCGAGCGGUUUUUGGCUUACAUGACCUAAAUGAGAGUUGAAGAUCUCAUUAAUAGGAACUCAACAGUAAAAAGAUAGACGAAAACGGAUUCCGUAUGAAGGAGUUACGAAUUCUUCGCGGUCAUUUAACAGUCUAAAUGCCUCCUACUGUUAAAUUUGAGAUCGGCCGAGAAUUACCUGACGGAGUCUAAAUGAAAGUUAUAUAUCUUGAUUUUGCCUACACGUUGAAAAAAAGAACGUCGAAAACGGAGCUCGUAUGCGAAAGUUAUGAUUUUUCUAUGUUUGAAGGCUGAUACGCGAUAGGGGGUGACGUGGCACCACCAGAAUUGGACACGUGGCACCACCAGAAGGCCACCACAUGCACCAACUCGGCGAGUAGGUCCCCCUACUCGACGAGUCCAUCAAUCAGCACCCCUGUAAAUAGAGGUGUCGGGUCUUGCCAUUUCUUCACACCUCCCAAACUCACUUUCUCUCUCUAGUUUCUCUCUCUAGCCUCCCAAACCCCACCUAAAGCCUAGGUAAACCCCGUAGCACCCGAAGGAAGCCCCGAGGCUCCCGGAGUCCUGAGAAAAGAGCCUUUCGGCUUGGGAACGCUGCUCCACCGAAGCCCGGUUUUCGAGAAAACCCGCUGUAAAUGAGCUAUGCCUACCCUAUCUUUAGUAUAGCUUAUGUUUUAAUAUAAUAACGUUAUUAGAAACUUAUAAUAAGUAUUUGCGCUAUUAUUAUGAGUUAUAUUGAGUGUUAUUUAACACUUAUAUAAUAAUAAUAAUAAUAAUAAUAAUAAUAAUAAUAAUAAUAAUAAUAAUAAUAAUAAUAAUAAUAGCUAGACUAUUAAUUUGUCGCGGUUAUCGUUAGACUAAACCCUACUAGGUAUUGGUAUUAGGUUUUAUCGAAGGAAAAUAGUUUUGAGAGUAUCAAAGCGCUGUCCGAGUGCUGAGUCACCACCUUUCAGGUGAGUGCAUAGUCCCUUUCAUCUUACACAUAGAUACGAAGUAUUUUAAUAUAAAUUAUAUGCUAUGUGUGCAUAUUGUCUGAAUAGUUGCUGUCUAUGUUGGGUGAAAUAUUUUUACAUACGUUUUAAAUGAUUUAAACUGUAUAUGUAUUUUAUAUCUACGAGAAUGUUGGGAUAAGACAUGGGUAGAUAUAAUAGAUGGAAUAUGAGUUGGACGAUGAGUUGAGAGGUGUUAUAGACCACGAGGUGAGGGUGAGAGGUGAACGAUGUGAGAAGCCAUUUCCCGAACGAUGGCACCGUCAUUCAGCAGAGUAUGGAUGACAACCACAGACUAUUCUAGACAAUCCAGUGGAACACUAGCAGGCUCGCAACCUGUAAGUGUUGUGAACGAUGUGUUCACUCAGUGUACUAUAAACCUUGUUGAUCAUUUAAACUUGAUGCCUAAACCCUGGUGAUCAUGCAGACUUGGUGCCAAAACCCUGAUGACUAUGCAGACUUAGUGCCUGCUGUAUAUAUUUUGGCGACUAUGCAGACUUAGUGUCUAAACCCCGGUGACAAUGGACUUCGUGCCGAUUCCUUAGGAUGAUCCUUAGGAAUGUAUGAACGAGGAAAGGUUGAUUCUUACGGUAGAUCCUUAAGCGCAAACAAAAUAAUGGGGAUGCGUAAUUGGGUUAAUUGUUUGAUUGUUUAAACAUAAUAAUUAUAUUGUUGUGGGUUGAAAACCCUAUGUACUCACCAGGUUUCCCAACCUGACCCACUCAGUUUAUUUAUAUGACCCACUCAGUUUAUUUAUAUCACAGGUGUUGAUAUGAAGUCACAUUAUACUGAGAGAUUAAAGAGAUGUAGAUCAUUAGUGUAAAUAAAUGUAAGUUCCGUUUAUGCUUAUGUUUCUGUAUUGACAAUGAGAUCCCAAACGUUUUAAAAUGAAUGAAAUAUGUUUCUUCGAAAAUGUUUUGAUAACAUAUUUAUCGUGUUUUUCUGGGAAAAAAUUCCGCAACAUUUUUAUGAAAAGAAGUACUUUGAUUUUUACAAAGCAUAAACAAAAUCGCUCUUUUCUGGCCGUGAAAAAUGGGGAUGUCACACUUCCCCAUCCAAACACGAGCAGAAAUACUCGUACUCAUGUGAAACACAACGCGACAGCCAAUAUCUUUCUUCUUCCGAUUGCUCGCUUCCACAGUUACCAUCGAUGGCCUUUGUCUUCGAUGCUCGUUGAAGCGGCGAUGGUGGUUGGGCACCGGUAGUUCACAACACCCAUAUAAACAUGAUAGUGACUGAGUGGUUCACUGCAGUUAGCCACCACGAAAGGGAUGGUGGCAUGACAACCCUAGACUUCUUGCAUCCGACUGGAUCGAUCUCUUUCAGACGUAGGAGGGGGUGGCUACGGCGAUUUCCGACUCUAAUGACAGAUAGGAGGUGGCGGGUGAAGGAUGGGCUAUAAGUGGCGGCUGUAGCACCCUCUUAAGGUUAGGGUUCUUAUUGCGGCAGUUGUAGCGCCUUCUCAUCCGAAAUUGAAUGUUGUUUUGAUGCAAACCAAGCGCUCGCUAAAAUGCUUCAAUUGAUGCACACCAAGCACUCUCUGAAAUUUGAACGACACCUCUUAGCAAUAUAAUUCUUUUAGAAUGUAUUAGUGUCUUUGUUAGAUUUUGAUGUUUUUUUUCCAUAUUUGAAAUUUUUUUAGUUUUAUUCUUUAACAAUAAAUGGAAUUCUUAGCAAUUGUUACAUGUAUUCUAUAAGCAUUAAUGUAAUUUUUGUUUUAAUUAUUCAACUGAUGGUUCGAGAAUUUUGUUAUUCUACAAGAAAUUUUUAAAGUCAUGAUCAAGUAAUAUGUUCAACAAAAUUUUUAUUAUUUUAUGGUUCAAAAAUAUUUUUAUUUUUGAACAUACUCAAACAUAGUUUGUCAGAAUGUCCAAAUUAAAAACCUUAUAAUUCGUAAAAUCGGAUUUUUUUAAAUUAAUAGAAUCUUUGAUCCCUUAAAAUAUGCAAAUUUCGUUUAUUAAAUCGAUGUUAAGUGACUAAAAUACCCAUCUAGUCAAAUUAGAUGGUAUUUUUCAAUUAUAUUUAAUUCAAGAAUAUGUAUUACUUUAAAAUAACACAAUAAUUACUUUAAAUAUAAUAACAUAUGUCGNNNNNNNNNNNNNNNNNNNNNNNNNNNNNNNNNNNNNNNNNNNNNUAUAUAUAUAUAUAUAUAAAAAUUUAUAGUACUUUACGCGUAGUUCCAGGGUUUAAACAAAGAAAAGAAAAUAAGACAAAAGAAAGUUAGGAGGGAAAGUGGUCAUUUCAUUUCCCUCCACUUCUUCCUAUUUCCCUACUUUAAUGAAACACCAAUUUCUUUUACUUUCUUCUCAUUUCCACUCAUUUCCUUUCUUUUCUCUUGUUAAGUUCAACUCGAGAACGGGGUGUUAGGAAUAGUUCUUUGUUUCUAUUGGUUAAUUUUUUUUCUUUCUUAGUUUUUUACUUGGUAUUUUCCUUGGUCUGUGGGACACCCACGCCACUGUUUAUAGGCAAACGUGUCAUCUUCCCUUAAACCAUUGCUGCCACCGCCUAUGAUUUUCUUCUAAACACGUUUAUGAACUAUUCUGGUUUCUCGGUCACCUACCCUCACACGAGUACGUUCGUUCUUCUUCAUAUCGUAUUGCCUUCCUUGUCUCCACCGCCUCUUCGAGGUUCCCUUACAUCCUCUGGAAGUAUCGUCAAAAGAUUAAACCCAAUCCAUCACUACCAAUCCUCCAAUAAGAUCCUCCACUCCUCGAUUUUCCGUUAUGGCUUUUUUUUCCUUCGAGAUUUUCAGAAUCCCUUCGUUGACUUCCAAUCCUCUUGCUAAGGAUGCAUUCCUCCUCCGUGAUUUUCCGUUUAUCUAUGCUCGAAGAUGAUUAGGAAAAAUUGCGAGAGAGUUGACGAAAAGUCAUGGAAAGGAGAGAGAGAGAGAGAGAGAGAGAGAGAGAGAGAGAGAGAGAGAGAGACAUCGAUGAUUUCUCUUACAGAUGAGAUACAAGGGAAGGAGGACCAUAAGGUGAUCUGGUUUUUGGUUAACUAUUAUCCAUGAAUUUUCCUAAUCAGGUAUGUUGUUCUCUGAAAAUUUUCCCUUUCUUGCAAUCAUUUCACCCCUACGUAAUUGCUAUCUAGGUCUGCAAGUGCAGAUGUAAUUAAGUUUGUGUCCACAUAUCUUAUACUGGUGUCGACUUCUUCGUCACUUCUAACUAAGGUAUUGGUUCUAGUUUUGGUUCUGUUUUUUUAUAUAAUAGAAGAACUUUGCCUCUUUUUUUUAUUUGCUCCAUUGUUUUGAUUUUGGGGUUCAUAGCAGGAAUAUGGAUAAUAAAUAUAUGGGUGUAGGUUUUUAUUGAUACGUCGAUUUUUUAUUUUGCGUUUAAGGAUUGAGAGAAAAGUGCUCCACUUGGAAAUUUGAAGAUUACUUCCAAGCAUAACCAAACACGAACUAAAAUUAAAAUGACUUUUCAUUAAAAGAAUUCUCAUAAACAUUAAUUUGUUACCUAAAUAUACCGAGAAGAAUUGUGAAUUAAUCCAAGUUUUCUAUGUUUGAAAAAUCUUUUCCACUUAUGUUGUAUAAUACUGUCAGACAAAUUCAGAGUUGGAGAUGCUAAAAGUAGUUGAUAGUUCUUACAUUUCCCAAACUAUUUUCUUGCCAUUAUAAACAUUUACACGUAGAAUCCUUUUUUGAAUNNNNNNNNNNNNNNNNNNNNNNNNNNNNNNNNNNNNNNNNNNNNNUAUAUAUAUAUAUAUAUAUAUAUAUAUAUAUCGGCACUUGAACAUACUUCAUGAUAAUGAGUGGGUUAUUUUCAUAUAUUGGAAAAAGUGGGAUUAUGCAUAGAUGGAAUCCUAUCUCUUAAAUGAUUGAAGCUUUAUGGACUAGGUUGAACAUGAAUACAAAUAACUGAGAGGCUCAUUCUUAGUUUAUAACAAUUACACACCAUUGGUAAACACUUCACAAAUAUUCUUAUUUUCUCCAGCUCCAUAUUGUUAUAAUAAUCCCUCGGUUAAAUUUAUAUUCACCAAAACCAAACAGAUAAUUCGGAUAUGCUACGGGGCAAACUUCAAAGAUUACCAGUCUCCCUAGCGGACUCAAUAAAAAAUCUUUCAAAAUCAUAACGAAUAAGAAAACAAUUUGUAUACAUAAUUUUUUUAUUUUUAGCUUUUUAGAUGCCUUUUAGUUAUAAACUUUGGUCAAUUUAUUUUUAGCUAAACUAGAGGAUAAAGGAACAGUUUUAGUUCAAUUCUUAAAGACAUUUCUUAGAAUGGUGAACACCCCUAGUUAGUAUACGAUUAACUAAGUUGCUAUUGUUUUAAAAACCACGUUGACCAGUACUAAAAUUUUGUCUGAAUUAAAGUUUGCUGAACAAUAACAGAAAAGGAAACGACUUAGGCUAGAGUGAUUCUAUUCAUGGCAUAUUAGCUAUUAUUUUUUAUUUUUUUAUUUUGAAAAGAUAUAUAAUGGUAUGGGCCAACAAGGAUCAACAUUGUGGAUAGUUUAAGAAUUGGUAUUCUUAAAGGACAUGCUUUAUUAUUUGGAAUGUUUUCUUUAUGAGGACCAAAUGCACAAUGUAUUAUCCUUUGAAAACCGAAAACAGUUAUGAUAAAUGAUAUCUUUAAUUUAACACAUUUCCAUUUCUACAUAUCUAUCAUUCAUUGUCGAAUAUAUAUAUCUUAGUUAGUCACACAAUGUUUCACACAUUCAUUACGGUCUACCCAGCAAGGCUGAGAUUUCAAUAUAGUACAACAGUAACAUUUUUCCCAUCCCGUAGGAAAAUUACAAUGAAAUUUAAAGCAAAAAUCAACGACGAUCUUUUCGCUUGUAAUAUUUGAUUUCGAUUCCACCUUUCUAUCAAGAAUGUUUGAUGUGCCUGAAUCACAACAAUAAAAUAAGAAAGUCAGUAUAAUGAAAUUCAUGUGUUUUUGUGUGCAUGUGAGAAAGAGAAAGAGAAACAGAGAAAGGAGCAUACAAUGACAAAGGGAGGCAAAAGAAGCCAUGAGAAUGAGGAAGAGAACUAGAAACCUACAACUAACGAAGGCCAUUUGAAAGGUAAUGAAAGGUUCCAGUGGAAUGAUUAAAUUGAGAAAUAAGAGGCUAUUUAUAAGUAGAUGCUAUGAAAUAUGAUAAUAGAAUUUUCAAUAGGCUUUUAUUUAAAAUUUAUUACUUGAAAAUUUUGGUUUGAUGCAUUAAAUUUGCAAUAGCAGUUAUUUAUUUUUGUAUAUACGCGAAAGGAAAAAAGUAAAUAUCAAAGUUUAUAUAAAAAUGAGUUAGUGUAAUAUAAUAUGAAAACAUAAAUAUAACAAACUUAUAAU